RNAcentral lists this ribosomal RNA (424 nucleotides) under uncultured Enterobacteriaceae bacterium. Its description in RNAcentral is "bacterial SSU rRNA". It matches the Rfam family "Bacterial small subunit ribosomal RNA", at positions 355 to 774 of the family's 1533-position model. The record is from RNAcentral. Lineage: Bacteria; Pseudomonadati; Pseudomonadota; Gammaproteobacteria; Enterobacterales; Enterobacteriaceae.
UGGGGAAUAUUGCACAAUGGGCGCAAGCCUGAUGCAGCCAUGCCGCGUGUAUGAAGAAGGCCUUCGGGUUGUAAAGUACUUUCAGCGAGGAGGAAGGCAUUAAGGUUAAUAACCUUAGUAUGAUGUAUCUCGCAGAAGAAGCACCGGCUAACUCCGUGCCAGCAGCCGCGGUAAUACGGAGGGUGCAAGCGUUAAUCGGAAUUACUGGGCGUAAAGCGCACGCAGGCGGUCUGUCAAGUCGGAUGUGAAAUCCCCGGGCUCAACCUGGGAACUGCAUUCGAAACUGGCAGGCUAGAGUCUUGUAGAGGGGGUAGAAUUCCAGGUGUAGCGGUGAAAUUGCGUAGAGAUCUGGAGGAAUACCGGUGGCGAAGGCGGCCCCCUGGACAAAGACUGACGCUCAGGUGCGAAAGCGUGGGAGCAAACA